Molecule: long non-coding RNA, 1733 nt
Organism: Octopus bimaculoides (California two-spot octopus)
Lineage: Eukaryota; Metazoa; Mollusca; Cephalopoda; Octopoda; Octopodidae
Source: RefSeq, a predicted model, not a curated record
AUUUUAUUUGUUUUUAUACACAUCUUCGUGUGAGUGGAAUACAAGGACCGUCUGAAAAGUUCAUACGAUUGAUAAAGAUGCUCUCAUGUAAUCUGACCAGAAAUAACAAAAGAGAAGAGAUGAAGAAACCAUUUAAAAAAAGAGACAACGUUAUCUGGCCAUGCUGGAGCACCACCUACAAGGGCUUAGUUGAAGAAAUCGACUGCAGUACUUUUUAAUUCUGAAACUUCAUACUUCUACCAACUGCAUCAACCCACCAUCUCUGUACCAAACGUACCCGGAUUAUGAAAUCACCCCCAAACAACACAAUGUACCAUAGUAGUCUUAUUUUGUGGUAUCUCAUUUAAAAUUUUUAUUUUCUCUUUUUUUUCUAUUUUUUGAAUUUGAUAUCAGUUGGAAUUGAAAAACUAUGGACGUCAUGUUUUUUUUUAUCGUUAUAUAAUAACAAAAACAACAGUUAAGGAUAAUGAUGACGAAAAGGGUAUGAUGAGGAUGAGAAUGACGCUGAUGACAUCAUCAUCAUCAUCAUUGCCAUCAGCAUCAAGAUAAUGUAAUAUAAAACACUUUUAAAACCUUAGAUACUUCUUACUAUUGAAUAGAAUAUAUGAACCAAAAAUCGAUUGAUUUUUACAUAAACGUACAUAGAGCAAAGCAAAAAAAAAAGACAUAACGUUAGAGAAUACACCAGAGUCAACUGAAAAUCAAAUACAGUGGGAGGAAAUGUGUGCAAAAUAUUCAGUACAAUGUAUAUCUACAAAAAGAGUUCCUUGGAACAGAAAAAUGUGUAUCGUAGCAACGUAAACGUAACCCGACAUAGCCAACAAGGAAUUCAUCUACACAUUAUGAACAACAAGUAACUAGAUAGUCAAAGUUUCUCAUUUUUUUGUUAAAGCACAUGACCAGUUGUCAUGGGAAUAUGGUAGUAGAAUCCAAUAAAUGUUGAUUGAAUGCUGAAGAGAAGCAUUAAUUCUCUGUAACAAAAAAUGGUGGUGAGAAGGGAGAGAGAAUAUCAGGAACUUCUACAGGACACAACUCCGCGAUUGUCUAGAUGACUUACAAGUUUAUGCGACUUUGUGAGAUCAUGAUAAACUCAAUCGGCCUCAUAUCCUCCGAGGUUACCUCAUCACUGACCAAUUACCUAAAUUGUGCCGCGAAAGAUGCACCGUUCUGGUAAGUGACAUCGACAGCGAUUGUCUUCUUGUAGUUCUUCCCAAAUAUUUUGAGAAUAGAUUACGAGUUUGUGUUUUUUGUAUUUUGGGGGCUUCCAUUUCUGUCUGUCGGGGUAACGUUUCUGCCAGCUUGUCGUCUCAUAUCUAAAGUCUUCAUGCUCGAAGGUACACCUGCAAUGAGAAUGCAAGGCGUUGAUGUUGCAUUGUUGUUUUUUUUUUCCUUUCUUUAUGUUUUGAAUGUCAUAUAUUUCUUUCAUUGCUUGGAGUUUGUUUCUGUAUUCAUAAAUAUUAAACUUAAUAUUUAUUUUGUUUUUCUGAUCGCUGUUUUACUCUGCCCAAUGUAAUUCUUUAUCUAUUCGUGUUUACGUUAUCAUAAAAUGGAGCUUUAGCGUGUAAUAAAGAAAUGGAUAUCUUUAAGAAAAUUUCCUUGUUGCUUAACCCUGGAACGAUAUACUCUUUCAAAAUGUUCAGUAAAUAUCCCCGUGGACAAUGAAAUCUGGAAUAUAAAUGAAUUUUUUCUUUUGUACUUGUAAAAUGCAAAAACAUGCAUGUAUAUUGUUAUAA